This 327-nucleotide unclassified non-coding RNA is filed under the name Hevea brasiliensis (rubber tree). The record is from RNAcentral. Lineage: Eukaryota; Viridiplantae; Streptophyta; Magnoliopsida; Malpighiales; Euphorbiaceae.
CCCACCCCCAGCCACAAAGGGAAGGAAAAACAACACAUAAAAACAGCCACCACAGAGCACAGACUUUUCACUACGCGUAGCAAAAUCUAUGCUUAUGCUACUGCUUAGCCACCUACUGCCAUUCAUCAAAAAGACAAUUUGAUCACAACGGGUUUAUUUGCGUCGCCACAAUGGGACUCCUAACCAAAUGCUUCCCAUCCGACCAUGUAAUUGACCCGAACGCGGCACCCGAAUCAUCUAGGAUCAGAUUUCGGGUAUUUGCUGUUAUUGUCACAAUAAAGCUUUGCUUCUUCAUUCCCUGAUUGAACACCAAUCUCGCUGGUUUCA